RNAcentral lists this non-coding RNA (24 nucleotides) under Macaca fascicularis (crab-eating macaque). RNAcentral also lists the same sequence under 1 other name. Lineage: Eukaryota; Metazoa; Chordata; Mammalia; Primates; Cercopithecidae. The record is from RNAcentral.
CAAGUUGAGAUUUUUAAGAACUUC